Molecule: ribosomal RNA, 253 nt
Filed under: uncultured bacterium
Lineage: Bacteria
Description: partial 16S ribosomal RNA
Rfam family: Bacterial small subunit ribosomal RNA
Source: RNAcentral
UACGAAGGGGGCUAGCGUUGCUCGGAAUCAUUGGGCGUAAAGAGCGCGCAGGCGGCUUGGCAAGUCGGGUGUGAAAUCCCGGGGCUCAACCCCGGGACUGCAUUCGAUACUGUCAGGCUAGAGGUAGGUAGGGGAGAUCGGAAUUCCUGGUGUAGCGGUGAAAUGCGCAGAUAUCAGGAGGAACACCGGUGGCGAAGGCGGAUCUCUGGGCCUUACCUGACGCUCAGGCGCGAAAGCUAGGGGAGCGAACAGG